GAUGAACGCUAGCGGCAGGCCUAAUACAUGCAAGUCGAACGGGAUCCAGAUCAAAGCUUGCUUUGGUUUGGUGAGAGUGGCGUACGGGUGCGUAACGCGUGAGCAACCUACCCUUGUCAGGGGGAUAGCCCGGCGAAAGUCGGAUUAAUACCGCAUGACAUCAUUGAGAGGCAUCUUUCGAUGAUCAAAGAUUUAUCGGACAAGGAUGGGCUCGCGUGACAUUAGCUAGUUGGUAAGGUAACGGCUUACCAAGGCUACGAUGUCUAGGGGCUCUGAGAGGAGAAUCCCCCACACUGGUACUGAGACACGGACCAGACUCCUACGGGAGGCAGCAGUAAGGAAUAUUGGUCAAUGGACUGAAGUCUGAACCAGCCAUGCCGCGUGCAGGAAGACGGCCCUAUGGGUUGUAAACUGCUUUUAUACGGGAACAAACGUCGGUACGUGUACCGGUCUGAGUGUACCGUAAGAAUAAGGAUCGGCUAACUCCGUG
RNAcentral lists this ribosomal RNA (490 nucleotides) under uncultured bacterium. Its description in RNAcentral is "partial 16S ribosomal RNA". It matches the Rfam family "Bacterial small subunit ribosomal RNA", at positions 28 to 507 of the family's 1533-position model. The record is from RNAcentral.